AGCAUUUGCCGCGAGUUAUUGGCAAGUUCCCCUGCAGUUUGGGCUGUCUCUGUGGCUGGUUCUGCGGCGUGCGGCCAGCCAUGGAGCGCUCUGGGCCCAGCGAAGUGACAGGCUCAGACGCAUCGGGACCGGACCCGCAGCUUGCGGUCACCAUGGGCUUCACGGGGUUCGGUAAAAAAGCUCGCACAUUUGACUUGGAAGCAAUGUUUGAACAAACUCGAAGAACAGCUGUGGAAAGAAGUUGCAAAACACUGGGCCAGAUUACAGAGGGGUAUUGAUUUGCCUUGCCCCCGCCCCCACCAUCACAGUGUGUCCCUGUCCAGUGUUGGUGCUGUGUGGCAUUGGCUUGUGUCCAUAGGAGUCCAUCAAGGCAGAGCGGCAGAGUGGGAAGGCAGGUCAGCUUCCAGCUCUUCCAGGCUGCAUGUCCCACUCAAUAUCCUUUCAACCCAAUGGAAAUGGAUUGAAAGAGUGAAAGUCACUGGUCUCAAAGAAUCUACGGAAUUUAGCAUUUUGAAAAUCACAUAGCAAUUUUGGGUAGGUAUUCACCUGCACUAAAAAACCAGGCAAACAUCCGACUCCCAGGAUAAAGUGACUGAGAGCAGUAGAAGACUUGUUGAGCCUUAAGGAAUAAGAGGAAAAUUACGUUAUGAAGUGCAGGAACAGCACAGACCCAGACGAGGGGACGCAGCCCGGAGCCAGUAACCCGGCGCCACCUCCUCCCCAGGGCGCAGCGCUGGCUGAUCCCCAGAUACCGUGAUCACACGUCCCGGGUCCUGAGAGCGCCUCAUAGGUAGACAGUUCUUUGGGACUUCUGGGAUGCAGCACUUGAAGAGAGGUUUACCUAAACUUUCCUCCUGGGAGCCUGUGAUCAUUUGAAAGUAACAGAAGAAAGUUGUCAGGCUGAGGAAAGUUUCAACAGGCACUUGGUGAGAAUGGGAAGCAUCCAUUCAUUGUGAAAUCGCGGGGACAGAGGAGGAAUUCACGGGAUCAGAGCACUGAGAAACUCCAGAGGCUUCUGGUUCACCGCCCUGAUUCCACAGAUGUGGGUCAGAGGCAGAGAUGGAAGUUGGAAUGGACAAGCCUGCCCUCUCCUUGGCUCUCCAUGGCUCUGUCCUCAGGCUGUUUCUGCAAUUUGACAUGAGGCCUGGCCCCAGGGAAACCAGUGGGGCCUCAUCUCCUCCCUGUGCUGCUCUGAGGUGGAGCCUUCUCAGGGUCAGUCCAGCUCUGGAGCCCCUCUCCAGCUCGGUCACCAAAGCUGUCUGGUCCCAGGGCGGUGCUGAGUGACAGGCAUGCCAGCCAAUCCAAUCGGCAAUUUCAUAUCCAAUGCAUGUGACUGAUAAAGAGAUAACGCCCUGUCUCCAAGACACAGGCUUUACAUAAACAGCUUUAAUGACUUCUUCACUUAGAGACAAGACUCCUUAGUGGUGGAACCUCAGGCAUCCGUGCAGGACGUAAGAAAGCUGCCGUAUAUACAUGAACUGAGAAGUGUGUAGAAGAAUAAAUACUGUAAUAGGUAAUAAAAUGUAUGUAUUUUUAUUUAUGUGCUACUUUGUCUUUCUCCCUCUCUGUGUAUAUACACAUACAUACAAAAAUGUAUUCAUUCUAUGGAAAACAUGAAAGAUGUAAUAUUCUUUACAUAUGAAAUUUUAAUUAAUGUAUUUUUUCUGAUCAUAUGAACACCACAAAUAUAAUUUUAUAAUUUUUUUACCUAACAAUAACUCUUAAACAUGAAUAUACAUGGACAAUAUCAUAGUUUUUUUUUUAAUCAUAAUUAAAAUGGUUGUGAAACAUUCC
Homo sapiens (human) is the source of this 1794-nucleotide long non-coding RNA. Ensembl annotates it as GUSB pseudogene 1. Its record names the gene GUSBP1. NCBI's taxonomy places the organism in Eukaryota, Metazoa, Chordata, Mammalia, Primates, Hominidae. The record is from Ensembl.